Molecule: transfer RNA, 75 nt
Filed under: Marine Group II euryarchaeote MED-G33
Lineage: Archaea; Methanobacteriati; Thermoplasmatota; Candidatus Poseidoniia; Candidatus Poseidoniales
Description: tRNA-Met(cat)
Rfam family: tRNA
About the family: Transfer RNA (tRNA) molecules are approximately 80 nucleotides in length.
Source: RNAcentral
AGCGGGUUGGAGUAGCCAGGUUAUCUCGUCGGGCUCAUAACCCGGAGACCGAUCGUUCAAAUCGAUCACCCGCUA